UCUUGAUGCAGGCAUGAAUACGGUUAAACGUGAAUGCAUAUAAAAAAAACCCGACUGCAGUUAACAGGCAGAUUAAAAGCCGACGGGUGUGUGUGUGUUUUUUUAUACCUUUGCUCCAAUCUGGUUCCCGCACUGCCCGGCCUGCAGGUGCACGAUCUCACGCAUGUUGUAGCUGCGGUUUGUGUGUGGGGGUCUCACAGAGAGCUGGAGAGAAACAGGGGAAGCUGACGACGGGCUCCGGUUCUGCGGCUGUUCGGUCCUGGCACUCCCGGUUCAGUCGACAGUCUGGCUGAAUGGCGGAGGAGCUGUGGCUGCGUUGUAAGCUCUGUCUCGCCCUUCCCAUCGUCCGCGGCUGCGCCGUUACUCCCGGUGCUGCAGCAUGACGUCAUCACCAUGGCAACGGGAACCGGGCACUGCCGGAAAAUUUGGCCUGCCUAGGCCGGUUUGUUGGGAUUGACAUGCAUGUGAGACAACCCUGAAUAACCGAGAUUAACUUUCUUCUUAAAACUCACGUCUCCCAGCCCCGGGCUUAGCCGUCUGUAAUGAAUAGCCUACCGAUGGAACUUGAUGUGAUGGCUACAUGCAGGGAGACAGGAAGUCAGAAAACAGAGACUGGAAGGGAGUGGGGAAGGAAGCAGAUGUUGCUAGUCACCAAAUGAGAUGGCAUUCCCAGUCCUCUUCUUGCAGGCGUCAAUGUUUUUACAAAGAAAACAUCAAAAGGUGAAUCAGGAGGUAAAAUCUGAUUUCUGAUCAGGUAGUGUAUGGUGUCACUGUUACAUCCAUGGCUGUUGUGGUGGCAGCCCGGCUGACGGUGAGUGUCCUGGUUUUUCCUCCUUUUUAUCAGUUUUCUGCUUUUUCCCUUGGUUUCCUGUUCUCUGCCCGCCUCUCUGUGUUUU
Micropterus dolomieu (smallmouth bass) is the source of this 896-nucleotide long non-coding RNA. RefSeq lists it as uncharacterized. The record is from RefSeq and is a predicted model, not a curated record. Lineage: Eukaryota; Metazoa; Chordata; Actinopteri; Centrarchiformes; Centrarchidae. The transcript is spliced from 3 exons.